CAAAAUGGCAGCCAGAAAACGUGGCGAUGCUGAUAGUGAGAAAGGAAACCUCGUAGAUCCAUAUGGCUCAUGCGCGCAAUUCAAUUAAAAAAUGUUUGUUAUAAUAUGGUCCCUUCUAAUUUAGUGGAAGCCUGCUUUAAACAGUACAAAAGACAUUACAAGAAAAUCGUUUGGACAAAGAACAUCACUGUUAUGGCGAAUGAAAGUGUCCCGCAGACUGUCCAGGAGACAGUGGAGGAGAUGAUUCCAGUCUCAGGAUCCGCUGAUGGAAUGAAUUCUCUAGGUCUUGUGGCGUUCUCAUUGCUCUUUGGAUGGAUAAUUGGGAAACUGAAGCAGCAGGGCCAGCCACUGAAGGAUUUUUUUUUAACUCCCCCAAUGAUGUCAUGAUGCUCAUAGUAGCAAUCAUUAUGUGUUCUGCUACCCUUCCCAUCACCUUCCAUUGCCCGGAGGAGAACAACCACAUGGACAAACAUGUAAAAUGCCUUGUCUUGCCAGUGGGAGCCACCACAAACAUGGAUGGUACAGCUCUGUAUGAAGCAGUGGCUGCCAUUUUCAUAGCCCAAGUUAAUGACGUGGCCCUGAACUUUGGACAAAUCCUCACCAUCGGGUAACACUAACCAAGAAUUAAACAUAACAGAAAAAACUAUAACACAAAAAUGCUUAGUCUAGAUCUGUUUCUUACUGUUAAAAUGGAUGCAUUGGAGCAGCAGUGGUCACCUCAAACUGGUCUUGUAACUAUGGUGAUGGUAUUGACGUCUGUAGGACUGCCCACCGAAGACAUAUCACUCAUCGUUGCUGUGGAUUGGAUCCUGUAAGUCUUUACUAAAUGUCACAUUUGCCACAUCUCCAGCAGAGAGCACUCUUGCAAAAGGUUACUAAUACAUAAUGCAGGCAUAGUGUAAGAGAAUACACUCUGAAAUGUCCUAAUAGCAAUGCUGUUGUAUUGUGGUGUUCCACAAUGCCAGCUCCAAUUGAGUCUCCUAACACAUUAUUGGAGCCGGCAUUAUGGAACACCCGUCAAGAAAGGAACUGCAGAACACUGAUCCUGGAACCAGCAGCUCUGUGACUGAGGUCAACUGCCAGGAGGACGAUUGUCUCGGUCAUCAAAAGAGUAAAAAAGCAGUCUAAUAACCAUCAGAAUAUACAGCGGUAUUGCUUUGACUUUACAAGAGUGGUAUGUGUUUGAUAUUUUUGUUCAUUUGUGACAGUUGAAUAAAGAGGAACUGUGUGGCUGA
Molecule: long non-coding RNA, 1235 nt
Organism: Tachysurus fulvidraco (yellow catfish)
Lineage: Eukaryota; Metazoa; Chordata; Actinopteri; Siluriformes; Bagridae
Exons: 3
Source: RefSeq, a predicted model, not a curated record